This is a long non-coding RNA of Ricinus communis (castor bean), 526 nucleotides long. RefSeq lists it as uncharacterized. The transcript is spliced from 2 exons. The record is from RefSeq and is a predicted model, not a curated record. Lineage: Eukaryota; Viridiplantae; Streptophyta; Magnoliopsida; Malpighiales; Euphorbiaceae.
UAAUGUAAGACUGGGAAAAGAGAAAUGGAGCAAACAUAUUAAUUGGUAACACAAUCAUUUACACCAUAAAAGGCACAAGUAAAAUAAUGUGUUUUAGAGUGGAAUGUAAGCAAUGUGGGAAGUAUUCAUGGGCUGGUUGUGGCAAGCAUCUUGUCACUCUCUAUGAUAACAUAGAGAAAGGAAAGCAUUGCAUGUGCAAGUCGUGGCCUGGCGUUGUCAUCCCAGCUGAGACUGACCAACGACAACCAAAGGGAGCUAUAUCUGCACCCACUACAGCAGCUACACCAGGAAUUGCAAAAUCUUAGAAGAUGGAUGCUGGUCAGAAGUGCUGUUAUAGAGGGGUUUCACCACCAGAAACAUAUAUUAUUUUAAACUUGGCUAUGGCGAGAUGAGAUUACUCAAGUUAAAUAAUGCAAUGAAAUAGGGAUAUGGUCAAUGUUUUAUUGACCAUCUAUGUUCCUGCUUUGUUUCUUUGGUUGCAAAAUGUAUGGGUUAAUUAAUAAAGAAUCAAACUCUCGUUAUCUUG